ACGUCAUCCCCACCUUCCUCCGGUUUGACACCGGCAGUCUCCCAUGAGUCCCCGACAUUACUCGCUGGCAACAUAGGAUAAGGGUUGCGCUCGUUGCGGGACUUAACCCAACACCUCACGGCACGAGCUGACGACAACCAUGCACCACCUGUAUAGGACGCCGAAGCACACCGUGUUUCCACGGCUUUUCCCUAUAUUUCAAGCCCUGGUAAGGUUCUUCGCGUUGCUUCGAAUUAAGCCACAUGCUCCGCCGCUUGUGCGGGCCCCCGUCAAUUCCUUUGAGUUUUAGCCUUGCGGCCGUAGUCCCCAGGCGGGGUGCUUAAUGCGUUAGCUGCGGCACGGAAGAAGUGGAUUAUCUCCCACACCUAGCACCCAUCGUUUACGGCGUGGACUACCAGGG
Molecule: unclassified non-coding RNA, 400 nt
Filed under: uncultured fungus
Lineage: Eukaryota; Fungi
Description: sequence contains ITS1
Source: RNAcentral